GCGCCAGUUCGGCGACCGUCAGGUUUGGAUCGGCUAUGACCCGGCCGAGACGGGCGACUGUUCCGGUAUGGUGGUGGUCGCGCCGCCACUGGUGCC
Molecule: transfer RNA, 96 nt
Filed under: Pseudomonas fluorescens
Lineage: Bacteria; Pseudomonadati; Pseudomonadota; Gammaproteobacteria; Pseudomonadales; Pseudomonadaceae
Description: tRNA-His
Source: RNAcentral